GUCCACGCCGUAAACGAUGAAUGCCAGACGUCGGGUAGCAUGCUAUUCGGUGUCACACCUAACGGAUUAAGCAUUCCGCCUGGGGAGUACGGCCGCAAGGUUAAAACUCAAAGGAAUUGACGGGGGCCCCGCACAAGCGGUGGAGCAUGUGGUUUAAUUCGAAGCAACGCGCAGAACCUUACCAACCCUUGACAUGGGUAUCGCGGGAUCAGAGAUGGUCCUUUCAGUUCGGCUGGAUACCACACAGGUGCUGCAUGGCUGUCGU
RNAcentral lists this ribosomal RNA (265 nucleotides) under uncultured bacterium. RNAcentral describes it as "partial 16S ribosomal RNA". It matches the Rfam family "Bacterial small subunit ribosomal RNA", at positions 793 to 1055 of the family's 1533-position model. The record is from RNAcentral.